UGUUAUAAAAAGAAUAAAUAAUUUUUUAAAAGAAGUCAUAUAAUUAAAAACGAAGGAAAAGGAUAUAUCAAUGUUGUGAAGGCUUUAUUGUAGCAUAAGGCAAUAUUUUUCUCAAGAAAAAUAUCUUCUGAUUUAUUGGAGGCCCCUCACAGUCACUAUCCUCAGGAAUUGCUCACUUCCUGCUUAGUAAGUUGCAAAUUUUUACCCUUUUCCUCUCUCACAACUCUGGUUGCAAUGGAAAAAUGUCCCAAUCAAGAAACGGUUGGUAAUGCGGCAAUGCUUUCAGGUGCGAAAGAACUACACAAGUUUAAGCCGGCCACUGAGUACUUGUUUUAACGGAUGGGUGAAUGGAUGUAUUAUAUUAUAUAUGACGGUGUCUAGGUGCGAAAGUAAAACUACUUUCGCAUCCUACGAAUGUUUCAAAAAAAGCAAUGUCUGAUUCUUAUCCGUCGGAUAUGAAAAUUAAAAUUUUUAAUGGUUGGGAUGCGUCAAGGGUUAUCGUUGGGAUUUGUUGAGGGUAAGGUAACGGGGUUGUAAUGAGGAAGAACGCUCCAGUUUUCCCUUUCGCGGAAAGUAGAACCUUGCAUACCCUAGCAGAGGUGGCGAUUUUGCGAUUGAAGCAGAGUUGUGUCUUUGUUCAACACUAUUGAGUAGAGCAUUGGCUUGGUCGCGGUAAAACGAUCAAAGCUGAACGUUGUGUUCGUUGAGCAAGAUUGAAAGGGAAGACGAAAGAAAACCGAGGUUAGGGGAACUUCGAGGCCAAAUCCGCAACUAACAUUGAGGGUUUCGUCAAACCUCGAGAAGGGUAAGGCUUAGUCGUGAACAAACUGCAGUUUGAAUGUCGGGUUUGGCUUACCGCCGUGUUUGGGUUUUUACGUUUGUUUUACCUUGUUCGGUGUUGGUUGGUGAUUGGUGAUGCAAAUGGCAAGCGCGUCAGGCUUAAGGCAGCUGUGAGGAGUCAUGUAAAAUCUGGUCAUCACUUCGAGGAAGUCCGUAUUUGGUGAAGGUAUUUCCACUCUUUUAUCGGUUUUUAUUGUUAGUGUUGCAGUUUGUUCAAUUGUCCCUGUUAGUUAUUUUUUCGUUGUUAUAUUGAUGUUUUGAUUGAAAGCGGUGGGCACCUUCCACUCUGAGGCACUGCAACACCAAAGUGAUGGAGGAUUAAACAUUGCACACAAAAUCAAGAAUAGUGGUGCAUCAAGACAAGUGAAUGAGGAAUCCGUUUUUUAAAAUACAGAGAAGUAGGGCCUUAACAAAACUUCGACUAAAGCCCACAUAUGGCAUUAGCCUUAGAAUUUAGGAUAUUUACCUAAAAUCUGCAAAGCAAAGAAAGUUGAAGUUUACCUAAAAUUUGCCUCAUGGUCUCUUUAUGAACAAAUUUUUGAGGUAUGUUUUUUAUAUAUUUCUUUUGGCUGAAUGCUAGUUCUACAUUUCCAAGUAUGCCUCUUUCCUACGCUACAGGCUUUAAUAUUCAUUAGUCAGAAAUAAACCGCACUACAAAACCGAGGUCUACUCUUUCACCAAGCAUACUGAUACAAGGAUAGGAUAUGUACAACCAUCAGAUGCAGUUUCGACAUCGCCAGCCGCAGCUACUUUUUCAUUUGUAAACAAAGUCUAUCGUAUUGUUUUUAUCUAACAGAUUCAAAUUAUGUCGAGAUUAGUGUUUGAUUACACAAAACCAAGAAUAAUCAAGGCACCAGGCAAGAGGUGAGGGGCGUAGGUAUUUUCGAUGAGGUUUACAAGUCCAAAAGUCUACCAUCUUUGUAUCAAAAAAACAAUACUUCUAAAAAAGCAAUCACUAAACCAGGAAUUUUUUAAUAUUUCAAUUCGACGGACAUAAUUCAUUCGUUGUUUUUUUUA
This is a long non-coding RNA of Glycine soja, 1857 nucleotides long. RefSeq lists it as uncharacterized. The record is from RefSeq and is a predicted model, not a curated record. The transcript is spliced from 2 exons. NCBI's taxonomy places the organism in Eukaryota, Viridiplantae, Streptophyta, Magnoliopsida, Fabales, Fabaceae.